GAUGAACGCUGGCGGCGUGCCUAAUACAUGCAAGUCGAGCGAACGGACGAGAAGCUUGCUUCUCUGAUGUUAGCGGCGGACGGGUGAGUAACACGUGGAUAAUCUACCUAUCAGACUGGGAUAAUUUCGGGACACCGGCGCUAAUACCGGAUGAUAUUCUGAACCGCAUGGUUAAAAAGUGAAAGACGGUCUUGCUGUCACUUAUCGAUGGAUCCGCGCUGCAUUAGCUAGUUGGUAAGGUAACGGCUUACCAAGGCAACGAUGCCUAGCCGACGUGAGAGGGUGAUAGGCCACCUUGGAGCGGGAACACGGUCCAGGGUCCUACGGGAGGCAGCAGUAGGGAAUCUUCCGCAAUGGGCGAAAGCCUGACGGAGCAACGCCACGUGAGAGAUGAAGGUCUUCGGAUCGUAAAACUCUGUUAUUAGGGAAGAACAUAUGUGUAAGUAACUGUGCACAUCUUGACGGUACCUAAUCAGAAAGCCACGGCUAACUACGUG
This 497-nucleotide ribosomal RNA is filed under the name uncultured bacterium. RNAcentral's name for it is "partial 16S ribosomal RNA". It matches the Rfam family "Bacterial small subunit ribosomal RNA", at positions 28 to 507 of the family's 1533-position model. The record is from RNAcentral.